CAGAUCCGUGUACUAGCUAUAGUGGAGUGGAUAGAAGACGUUAAAAGAUGGCCAAAUAUAAAGUGGCCAGAUACAUAUAUACGUAUAUAAGUAUAUUAUAUUAGUGCAACCAAACGCAACAACCAGACAUUUUGAUCCUGGUGAACCGUUUUAAUAAACUUUCUGAGUUACUUGCUAACACGUUAGAACCACUGGGGAAUAACACCACUUCCGUUGCCGAAAUGCGAGCGCUAUUUGAUCACGUGGGCUGUAAAAGGGUCUCACAAGGUGAUGUCACAGUAGAAGUGGCGCUAUUAUGGAAAUGUUCGAGUGUGAAUUAUUUUUGUCACUGUGAGAGGGCUAAAUAAGACCGCGCGAGUUACAGAAGAUUCGUGGGUUUUAGUUCGGCGUUGAUUUGAUUCAGUUCGGGUUGCUUUUGGUGUGUUUUUGCGUGUCUUCAUUAGUCAUGAAAAAUACAGACGACCAAAUAAGCCCGCUGCGGUUAGCCAGUCAUUCUUGGCGGGCUAAUCAUCGCGCGGUUUUUAUUUGGUCUUUAUAAUUGGUUGGCCGUCUUUUUUUCGGACGUCGUCAUGCCCCCGUUGGGCCGUCCGAGAGCAGCAGCAUUUCGCGCUGUUCUCGGGGCGAGGGGGCAAAGGCCAACAUCAUCCGGGAGCGGUGAACCGGAUGGUUCCUGCGGACAACACAGCGAGCGUGCACCGAUGCCAGCUGAUGGCCGGUUCAUCGUGUCGCUCACCCAAACACCGCGGCGGAGACCUAUGGACACUUCUGGACAAUAUACUGGAAGAAAGAAUGACUCCUCAAAAGCGUCCCACUUGUAGUUCACAGCCAAGUGUGACACGUUUUGAGGAGUUCACACCAGGGUGGAUGUUGCACUAACUAUCUGACUGACUGUCCUUUGGUUGUGUCCAAAAAUCUAUAAAGAUGAAAGCUAGGGGAAUCUGUUUUGGCCAACCUAAGAUUCCUCAGGCUCUGGACCCCGACAAGAUUAUGAAAUCUGUUAAAAUCUCACAGGUUCAAAUUUGAUCAUAACUAGUGCCAAUUUCAAGUUAAAAAAUAGUUUAUUUCCAGCAGACUGUUACUCAGACAUGUAACACGCAGAUCUAACGCUCCACCCGUACGUCCCCUCAUAUGUCCGGUUCCUGCCCGGGUUACACGACGACCCCUGAGUCAUCGUGUCGCUCAUAUAUCACAGGCACUUAUUACACCAGAAGUGCCUGUGAGUAGUAGAGCAGUAUCCAGCGACGUGUCCUCUAGACCUUCACUGUCAGAGGAAAUCUGUUCUGCCCAUCCUGAGCUUCCUCUGACUCGGCCUGAACAUGAGGGUCGUGUUGCAUCCGGUCAGCAGGUCCAGCUCUCGCCUGGUCGGCGGGUCCAAAUCUCGCCGGCUUGUGUUAUAUGCAUGCAUUAAAUCUCUGUUUGUUUUAUUUACAAAAAAGUAACAAGGGCACAGUUAAGAAGAUGAAGGGUGGUCAUGUAGCUCAGUAAGUUUAGCAAAAUCUCAGUUUUAAGGUUGUUUGUAAUAUGAAGCCUACGGUUAGUGUUUGAAUGUUUGCAGAAUCAGGUCUUGACAAUAUAUUUUUAGACCUUCAUCUUGUCAAGCCCAGCCCAAAACUGAGUGGAGGUCCAUCAAGCGCUGUGCUAAUUCACAGCUGAGUGAAUCAGAUCUAACACAGGAGAUGAAGCAGGAUCGAAAAAGGGCGAGAACCUGUCCUGCAGACGGUUCUCUAGCUCAACCUUCAUCCGCUCAUCUCCUUUCGUCACCUGGGCCUUCACCUCCUGCUGCUGCUGUCUCAGAGGUAGAAAUUUACCAGGACCCUAAACAUAUCUACUGCCAAUUUAUAUUAAUUUGCAGAAAAAAAAAUAAAGAGAAGAGGAGGAAAAGAAAAAGGCGGGUGGCCAAUUCUGUAGACAUUCAUCUAUAGUCCAGGCCGCACCGCCGCAGACUCCUCCUGCUGCUGUCUCACAGCCUUCUUCAAUGAGCAGUGAAAUAGACAGCCUGCAGCCCAAACUGUUUGUUUUAUCAGUCAAAACAAAAAAAUAAAGUUGCAGAGCAGCAGCAAGCUUCCAUGAAGCACACACCCCCACCCAAAAAAAUACAAAUUAAAUAUCAUUUAAACACCUGAAACUUGAGAUUAACAACUUUUUAAAACUGAGAUUUGGGUCGGGUUUUCAUACUUUGAUUACUGGGUCAGCUGGAUUUCAUUGUCAUUGAUUUUCUUUGAUCUAUUUGGUUCUCAGAAUCUCAUCCUGUUGUUAAACUAACAAAUUUAAGUGUUAAAACCUGUCCGGCCGAUGCUUAGUUCACUUAAAAUGAUAGCUUUGUUAUUGUGAUAGGGGAAGUCUGUUACAGCGGUGUCUUCUACAUGUUUAUAAGAGCAAACUGUUGAGGAUGGUGGGAUAUGAAAAGCUUUUUUGAAUAUGUAAACUUAAUUUUUCGUUUUUUAAAGACAUAACAUUUCACAUUAUUGUCUUCCUGUGGUUCCCAAAUGGCCAUAGACUGACAGCUGUUCUGUAUAACUGUAUGUAACUGUAUAACCUCCAACAAUAAAGACGGUUCAAAGAAAGAAAGGAAGAAGGGUUAUACAGUGAAUUAUUAACACGUUUUGUUUGUUGAUUUAUAUGCAUUAGUUUUAAAUGUUUCAUUUUAUUACAUUUUUAACUGUUUUGUCAAUAGUGACCUCGAACCAAACACCCAUCUAUUUUACUGUAAAACCUGUGCUAACAGCAGCCUUCAAGCUAACAUCAGCUUGUUUUGUCUGCAUGUCUCAUCCUUUUGUGGACAGUCAUGAAGAGACUGACAGACCCAGCUCCGGUUCAGUGUGAUGCUUAGCCAUAGACUGCAUCCCAUGAUCUGUUGCCAAUGAAUUUGACAGACUAAAACGCAUAUUUGAGCUGCCAUCAUUUUGUACUAAAAUAUCUCAACAUAUAUCAGUGCCAUUGUAUUGUCGCAAUAUGCACACCAGUAUAAUCUUUUACACGGUUUAAUUCUUCUUUAGUUCAUCCUGAAGCUCACAAGCAUGAUGCUGACAUUUGCAAGUUUUUAUUUAAACUGUAUCAGUUAUAUUUUUGACUAAAAUGAUAUUUAGUUUUGGUCAUAUUUUUGUCAAGUAAUUACAUGUAAGAACAUUUUGUUUGAUUUAAGGGGCAGUUUUCCGGAGAUGAAGAAAACCACCUUUUAAUCCUCAAUUGAGCCCUAGGGUCUAUAUGACCCCAAUCGCCAUUUAUUAGUUAAAAAAGUGGUUCCUUAAUCUCAGAUAAAUACAAUUUUGUGACUUAUCCUACAUUAUCUAUCUAUACAAACACAAAAAACGGGGCUUGAUUUGGGAAUUUGACCCCAAUUGAAUAUUAAUGGGAAAUGCAAAAACAUUUUAUUUUACAUUUUUCCAAAAAUAUCAAUAAAUCCAGCAUAAAUCCCUCUCAUGCACACACUCUCUCACACAUUAUUAUAAUUAUUAUUUUUUACCCAUGUUUCAUUAAAAUCAAUAAUAUGAAAAACUACAAUCUGACUCGUGAGUCUUGAUGUUCAGGUGUGAAAUUAAAUUCUUAAUUUCCAUUAAAUUGAAUGGCUUUCUAUGGCCCUCUGCUGGUGUCAAAGCAUUUCUUUCUUAAACGGUAAUUUCUUUAGGUUUAUCUCGAAACAGCAAAAGGUGGAAUUCUACACCUAACACCUAGAUCAAAUAUCCAAAAACCAUUUAAACUAAAUUUAGGUAAUCAUUUAAAUGAUUCUUUCAUAAAAAUCUAUAUUUCACAUGCAAGCUAAUGGUGUAGUUGAGGAUUUUUGUGGUAAAUGGUCUCGGUCUCAAGACCACUUUUUAAAGGUCUUGGUCUCGUCUUGGAAUCGAACGCAUUUUUACUCGGUCUCGUCUUGGUCUCAGACAAAGAGGACU
Misgurnus anguillicaudatus (oriental weatherfish) is the source of this 3887-nucleotide non-coding RNA. The record is from RefSeq and is a predicted model, not a curated record. NCBI's taxonomy places the organism in Eukaryota, Metazoa, Chordata, Actinopteri, Cypriniformes, Cobitidae.